Long non-coding RNA from Dermacentor albipictus, 473 nucleotides. RefSeq lists it as uncharacterized. The record is from RefSeq and is a predicted model, not a curated record. Lineage: Eukaryota; Metazoa; Arthropoda; Arachnida; Ixodida; Ixodidae.
UGUGUUGUUUCGAGCUACAGGAGUCAGGAAAAGUUGUCUCGUUCUUUAUUACUCAAAGCAGGACAACUUCAAGUGCAUGUUGAUGCAACAAGAUAUGUGUCACGCCUGUGCCUAAACAAAAGCGGCACUCUUACCAAGAAACAUCACUGCAUAGGCAACCCUAUGAAAUGUGGGUGCAGGUCCACCACAAAAAUGCACAAGUACGGUACACCAGGUUUCCCGGCACAGUGACAACGUGCGCUUAGUAGGCAACUAAGCGCUGCACAGAAAUGGCAGGGAGGAUUGGACGCCACAGCAUCAGCUAUGACAUGCCAACUAGACUCUUGAGAAGCAUGGAUAGGAGGCUCACAUUAUCGUGGAAGAUGUGCUCGCUGCGGAAGCCGGAGGGACCACCAAUGCCUGAGCUGCGUUCGGAGAGUCUGCUGAACUGGCGACGACGACUUUCCCGUGUUGCCACUUCCUGGCCUUCCGAA